AACGAACGCUGGCGGCAGGCUUAACACAUGCAAGUCGAGCGCACCGCAAGGUGAGCGGCAGACGGGUGAGUAACGCGUGGGAAUCUACCCAACCCUACGGAAUAACCCAGGGAAACUUGGACUAAUACCGUAUACGCCCUUUUGGGGAAAGAUUUAUCGGGGAUGGAUGAGCCCGCGUUGGAUUAGCUAGUUGGUGGGGUAAAGGCCUACCAAGGCGACGAUCCAUAGCUGGUCUGAGAGGAUGAUCAGCCACAUUGGGACUGAGACACGGCCCAAACUCCUACGGGAGGCAGCAGUGGGGAAUAAUGGACAAUGGGCGCAAGCCUGAUCCAGCCAUGCCGCGUGAGUGAUGAAGGCCUUAGGGUUGUAAAGCUCUUUCAGUAGGGAAGAUAAUGACGGUACCUACAGAAGAAGCCCCGGCUAACUUCGUG
Molecule: ribosomal RNA, 431 nt
Filed under: uncultured bacterium
Lineage: Bacteria
Description: partial 16S ribosomal RNA
Rfam family: Bacterial small subunit ribosomal RNA
Source: RNAcentral